This is a long non-coding RNA of Ipomoea nil (Japanese morning glory), 585 nucleotides long. RefSeq lists it as uncharacterized. The transcript is spliced from 2 exons. The record is from RefSeq and is a predicted model, not a curated record. NCBI's taxonomy places the organism in Eukaryota, Viridiplantae, Streptophyta, Magnoliopsida, Solanales, Convolvulaceae.
CAACUAGUUACGACAACAUACUCAACAAUACACACAAAAAUUUCAAUCUCAUAACUUUACAUUAUUUCAUCCGAAAUCAAGGUAUAUAGAGCAAACAUGGCUGCUUGCAAAGUUGGUUUCUUCACCGUCCUCCUUGUGUGUGGUAUUUUUUUAUUGGGAAGUAAUGUGGAGCUUGGAAAUGCUCAGAUUUGCCCCCAGGUCUGUGAUCCUAAAGCAGCCUAUAUGAUCUGCCCACCUAAUAACAGAAGGACUGAGCCAGUUUGUAGAAAUUGUUGUCAAGUUGCAAACAACGGCUGUCAACUCUUCGAUUCCAAUGAUUCACCCCUUUGCUAGGUCUUUUGCAAGGUUGUAUCACCCUAAAUGUUUAAAUCAAGUAAUCUCAACGAUAAUAAUAAUAAUGUCUCAAUCAUCAAUAUAAUGUAGAUGAAAUAAGAUUGUAAGACUCUUUUGAAUAACUAUGCAUGGGGGUGAGACUACUAGUAUAGUCUAUUACCUUCAUUGUAAUCAAACCUCACUAUUGUAGUGUGGUUUUAUUGUUGUUAAAUGUGAACUUGUUGGGUUGUUAUUACUUUUGUUUGAAUGCGA